GGCCGGCAGCGGGAUAUUCCCGGGCGGCGAGAGCGGAUUUGCCAUGGCUUUCGGUGCUGGGCUCUGGGGCCCCUUCACCCAUGCAAGCCGAGCGCUCAGCCAGCGCAGUUUCAGCACCACCGGAAGCCUCAGUGCAAUUCAGAAGAUGACGCGGGUCCGUGUGGUGGACAACAGUGCCCUGGAAAAUACCCCAUACCAUCGCCCUCCUUGUUGCAUCCACAUCUAUAACAAGAACAGGGUGGGCAAGGUGGGCGACCGGAUACUGCUGGCCAUCAAGGGACAGAAGAAAAAGGCACUCAUUGUGGGGCAUCGCAUGCCCGGUCCCCGGAUGACCCCCAGGUUUGACUCCAACAAUGUGGUCCUCAUUGAGGACAACGGGAACCCUGUAGGGACCCGAAUUAAAACGCCCAUCACCACCAGCCUACGCCAGAGGGAAGGUGAAUUUUCCAAGGUCCUGGCCAUUGCUCAGAACUUUGUGUGAGCAGGGCUCGGGCCGCUGGCUGCGGUGGGACUCAUGAGAGGGAACUCGGGGCCCCAUGGCUGGGGAACAGUGUCCUGUGAAAAAAUAAACCUUUU
Callorhinus ursinus (northern fur seal) is the source of this 576-nucleotide non-coding RNA. The record is from RefSeq and is a predicted model, not a curated record. NCBI's taxonomy places the organism in Eukaryota, Metazoa, Chordata, Mammalia, Carnivora, Otariidae.